RNAcentral lists this transfer RNA (75 nucleotides) under Candidatus Chisholmbacteria bacterium RIFCSPHIGHO2_01_FULL_52_32. RNAcentral's name for it is "tRNA-Thr". It matches the Rfam family "tRNA". Rfam says of the family: Transfer RNA (tRNA) molecules are approximately 80 nucleotides in length. Lineage: Bacteria; Candidatus Chisholmiibacteriota. RNAcentral also lists the same sequence under 2 other names. The record is from RNAcentral.
GCCGUCUUAGCUCAGCGGCAGAGCAGCUGUUUUGUAAACAGCAGGCCGUCGGUUCGAAUCCGACAGACGGCUCCA